Molecule: long non-coding RNA, 1042 nt
Organism: Brachypodium distachyon (stiff brome)
Lineage: Eukaryota; Viridiplantae; Streptophyta; Magnoliopsida; Poales; Poaceae
Exons: 2
Source: RefSeq, a predicted model, not a curated record
AAAAGGGGCGUCCCUACAUCUCUUUCUUCCACUUCACAACUCAGAUCCACAAAACCAUCAGAAAGAAAUAAUCUGCAUUCACUUCAAACUUUAGAAGAUGGGAAGGACUAGCCAAGCUUUGCUCCUUUUCGCUCUCGCUCUCCUGCUACUGUCAUCACCAGGUGCAACGGCGGCGGCGGCGGAAGAGGUGGUGGUGCCGAAGGCAGAUUGUUCAGUGACGACGAUCGGGCUUGGGCAGCCGUGUGAGCAGCAUUACUGUGCGACGGAGUGCAAGAAGGAGCAUGACGGCAUGGGUGCCUGCGCCGCCAUGGGCUGCAGCUGCGCCGUCUGCGCUAAAUAUCCUCCCUCAUUCGAACAGACCAAUGGGAUGAACUAGCUUCCUUUUUGGGAGCCUUUUUCUUUUUACCCUUGUAAAUUGUUUCAAGAAAAAUGCAUCGAAAUGGAUUUUUGAUUUACAAGGUUGUCAUUGCAACCAAAACUAAACUCCCAAGCAGGUCUCUAGCAGCAAUUUACUAGCUAAGAUAUACAUGAUGCCACGUUCAUUUCAUAAAAAAGGAAUGAUGAUAAAUAAAUCAAACAACCAUGUCAAAAUUAUGCGACAGGAAUUUGUUACUCUAGUUUUUUUCUGUCUGUAUCCCCGAUAGUUGCACAAACUAAAACGCAAGAAAAAAAUACUAUAAUAAACAAAGAAAUGAAUAAAAUAAACAUGUCCAAAUUAAGAAAAAUGAAAUGGCCGCAAAAGAAAAACAAAAUAGUAAGAGAAUCAAUCCCUGUGUCAACAGAAGAAUAAACAUGUCAAUUUAUUUUCUUAAUGCGUACAGCCGUAUCAAGAAAUAAAUAAAUAAAGCAAACAACCAUUGAAUCAAUCCCCGGUGUGCAAUGUGCAUCUUUUAGAUCGUAUUCGUUAAUAAACAUCAAACGCUAGUAAAAGAAAACCAAACUAUUUUCUUGUGUAACAUGGAUCCAUUACCAGAUGUAUAUUCCAAUCGGAUAAUCCCAGCCGUAAGUUCAAUCCAUUCCUCCCGACUUCCUCUCCUCUCUC